Cyprinus carpio carpio is the source of this 1276-nucleotide long non-coding RNA. The record is from Ensembl. NCBI's taxonomy places the organism in Eukaryota, Metazoa, Chordata, Actinopteri, Cypriniformes, Cyprinidae.
UAGAAUAUGAUAUACUUGAAAUGUUGAACCUGCCAUGGGGGCUGAGUGUGGACGGAGGAGCUGAACACGCAGCGCCGGAUGAAGCUCAAUGAAACCUCUAUUGCAGAUAUGAUAAAUAAUGAUGAUGUAUGUGGAAUGAUAGAGUAGGGCUCAACAAGGAAACAUAGUUAAUGGUCCAUGUGUGAAAGAAGGAAGAGGAAAUAGUUUUAAAACUUCAGACUUAUCACUCAAGGUUAAUUUGCCAUCCAACAAAGUAGGUGGCGAUAAUGCUCCUUUGGAGUUAAUCGCCAUUAAACAAGAAGAAGAAGAAGAAGAAGAAAUGGCAGGAAGUUGGUUCUCUAAAUGCAAAGAGAGGCUUGCCUCAUGGUGGUUGUGGCCUUUUUACCCUGGUUGAGGAACUUUAGAGUUCUAAGCUCAUCUAGGGUUUGUGUUCUAAAUGUAUAUGGAUUACUUGGGGGUGUAAACAACUGAGAAGAUUGGAACUAAGAGUUGGUUUCCAUUUAUUACUUGACUGUUGCCUGUUGCAAGUCAAUAUUUUACUUCAAAUGUGGACAAAGCUCUUUGACGAUUGAACUCUGCUGUGGAUCAUCUUGUCACUUAAGUACUGUUUUCUUUAUUCAUUUUCAACAAAGACUGAGCAAAGCUUAUGGUCCUAAUUGAUGAGAAACCAAGGACUGUGCUUUAUGUGAUGGACUGAAUUUCUUAUCCUUUGGUUCUAACUGUUUGAUGUUAGGAAUUUGUGUCAGGUUGAAUAAUGAAUGUUGUGUGUGACUAUGUUUAAUACAUUUGACUCAUGAGAAAGAUUGGUCUGGUUGAUCCCUUAUUUUAUGCAGCACUUAAGUAAAAGUUAAUGGGAUAGGUGUUACACACUGGCACAGCACGUCUUCAAAGUGCUCACAGCAUGAUGCAGCAAAAGCCAAAUCAACAAUAUAUUUUCAAAAUCCAUCACAUACCCUUAUGUUGUUCACUUUCUUUUCUCUUUUCCCACUUCUCUGCAGUUUUACAGUGCUGCCUCUUAAUUUUCAAACAUUAACACACACGACUGAAACUUUAUAAAAGUUAUUAUUAUCGAGCAUUACAGUCUGAACCCUGACAUGGGGCGUCCUGGAGGCCACAGAGCCCUAUGCAACCGCUUAUAUUGCUUAUUAGGUCCCGACUCUGGUUGUGAUGGCAUUCAGGUUGUGGCGUUUUCCAUAGACCCCUAAUGACAUCACAACACAACUCAUAGUAACCGACAUAUAGAGAACAUCUCGGUUACUUUCAUAACCCUCGUUCC